CUAACUUAUCUAGAUAGUUUAGAUAAGUUAUCUUCACUGUUAAGCCCGUAAGUUAUAGAGGGUCCACACCCACGACACGGGUCAAACGUUCCCGAUUAUAAUGAUAAGCAUAUUGUUCCACCAGCUGAGGUGCCAGCUGUUGCCUGGGUGCAUAUUGUUCCACCAGCUGAGGUGCCAGCUGUUGCCUGGGUGCAUAUUGUUCCACCAGCUGAGGUGCCAGCUGUUGCCUGGGUGGAGAAUGCGAGACCACGGCUCUACUACACACGACCUCCCUCACUAUCACCUUCAUUGUAACCUCAUCACUACUAUGGCCUCCAAGAUUCAAAUAUUGAGCAUCACAUCUCACUGUCAACACUACAGUACAUUUAACGGCCUAGGCCUAAUAUAAUAGGCCUAAAUAUAACAUGGGCUACAUUAGAUCUAGGAUACGUUAAAUUAUUCCUAGGACAGGUGUCUGCUUAUAUUUUAUUUUUCGUUUAUUCCCGUCUUCCAGUAUACGGAACUUCAGUAGUAUAAACUUCAGAUUUGUUUGAUUAAAAUAACUAUUUUGCAUAUAACUACAUGGUUUUAAAGUUUCCGGCUAUGGUUGGCAACUCGUACGAUUCAUUUCGUAAAGAAUAUAGUUAUAUGGGUGCAACUGUUCAUAUAUUGCAUAUAUGAUUGUUGCUAUAUGGAGGAGGAGGAGACACAUAUGCAAGACACAUAUAUAUUAUAGUAUAUGUACUAUAAUUUUAGAGGUUGUGCAGUGGAGUUACGAGGCUAGAAACACAGAUUCUGUAUCAAUGAAAUUAUGAUAACGUUGCAGACGCCGAGACACUAUCAUGGCUGAAGAUAACAAUUAAUUAUACUCCAGGACGGACCCAAACGUAAAUUCAUUAUUUGGAGAUCUGUGAGUGGGUGUCUACGGUAGCGUCUUAAGUCUUCAAUAAGCCGGUGGCCAAGAUAUACGAGAAAGUGCAGAGACAGUAUGACAAGCAGACUAGUGGGUGUGUCCAGGAUGACUCUUACACCAGCCCUGGGGCGUCUUGGGGCCACCCACACAACUUGACGCACUUCUCAACACUGGCUGGACCGGUCUACCUUGGAGGACUGUAGUAAGGAAGUCAAGCAUCACAGCGGGUCAUGCGUAGUUACGCAAAACGUAGCUUGCUGAAGCUUACUUUCUGAUCAAAGGUGAAGGCGAGGCGCAGUUGCACACAACAGCUUCCAUAGACGUCUGCAAAAGUCCUAUCUCGACCUUCAGACAUGACACCCUCUCUACCUUCCAGGAUGAGCCUCCCAACUUCUUGGUUCCUAUCAACUAUCAACAUCAGUUUAUUAAAAUUGUGUGAAUCAGAACGAGACACUGCUUCCAUUGGUGUAAAACCUCAUCUUCCAGAUUCCGACUGAGGACAUCUGUCAAGCGGAGGACAUCUGUUAAAGCAGAACCAAGCUUGCUGACUCGGAUAAAUAUCAAAUAAAUGACGAGGCCACAUUACCUGCUAUAAUGCCUUUCAGUCCUAUAUUGCCCCCUCCAGCUGGCGCAGCAGCACCCGUCUGUGUCAUCCACGGCCUUAAAAAAGGCGACCUAAAUGCGGGAGAGGGACAAUCCAUGCUCGCCUCACCGUGCACCUCCGUCGACGUCAACCAAAAUACAACCAGCUGAGACUCAGCUGAUCGUGGCGCCACCACUCGUGAACCCUGCCCAAGUUAUCAUAAACUAGGAUUUUAAUAUUUCAAUCAGCGCCUUACGAUAGCUAUGCUGACAUACAUGAUGAGUACAUUUUUGAUCUAGUAAAUUAUAAAAUAUUUAAAGGUGUAAACAAAAUAUGUAGCGAAAGACCAUGUAUAAAACAACAUGGACUAAAUUAUUAUGUAACACAGAGAAUGUACCCCAUGUGUUACAUAACCCUCAAAGUCUAUAUUUUUAGCUACAGGAAAGAUUUAGUCUACUGAGAUAUAUAAAUCGUGUUUAUCUGUGCAACAUAAAUCUUAUUAAAAUUUAAAGAAAGCGCGUCAUUGAUGCGCUCUGAAAUAUUGUACGCCUGGCAGCGACAAGUACUCCUAUCACAGUUCUCAUAAUUUGCGGAGACAUAUAUUAGCGUUAGUAUCGUACUCGCUAAAUUUAUCUAAUGGACAUCAUCCUUAGUGGCCUCGGCUGGGGAAAAAAAUCCGCUGUCAUAUACAAAACGUUUAUAAUAUAAAAUUUGUCACUCAAAUAAUCCAUCUCAUUUACUUAAUACGAUUUAACAAACGCAGGCGAAACCCAAUAAUUUAAGACAAUGUGUCCUGAGAGGUCAUUGGGUCCAAUUGACAGAAAGAAAACCAAUAAUAAACCAUGAAUG
Procambarus clarkii (red swamp crayfish) is the source of this 2324-nucleotide long non-coding RNA. RefSeq lists it as uncharacterized. NCBI's taxonomy places the organism in Eukaryota, Metazoa, Arthropoda, Malacostraca, Decapoda, Cambaridae. The record is from RefSeq and is a predicted model, not a curated record.